GCAUCGAUGAAGAACGCAGCGAAAUGCGAUAAGUAGUGUGAAUUGCAGAAUUCAGUGAAUCAUCGAAUCUUUGAACGCACAUUGCGCCCCCUGGUAUUCCAUGGGGCAUGCCUGUUCGAGCGUCAUUUGUACCUUCAAGCUAUGCUUGGUGUUGGGUGUUUGUCCUCUCCCCUGCGUUUGGACUCGCCUUAAAGUCAUUGGCAGCCUGUAUACUGGUUUUGAGCGCAGCACAUUUUGCGUCUUGCAUGCUAGUAAUACUAGCAUCCAUCAAGCCCUUUAUCACUUUUGACCUCGGAUCAGGUAGGGAUACCCGCUGAACUUUAAGCAUAUCAAUAGCGGAGGA
RNAcentral lists this ribosomal RNA (343 nucleotides) under uncultured Dothideomycetes. RNAcentral's name for it is "eukaryotic LSU rRNA". The stretch from base 1 to 125 matches the Rfam family "5.8S ribosomal RNA", at positions 30 to 154 of the family's 154-position model. Lineage: Eukaryota; Fungi; Ascomycota; Dothideomycetes. The record is from RNAcentral.